RNAcentral lists this ribosomal RNA (2903 nucleotides) under Cronobacter malonaticus. RNAcentral's name for it is "23S ribosomal RNA". It matches the Rfam family "Bacterial large subunit ribosomal RNA". The record is from RNAcentral. Lineage: Bacteria; Pseudomonadati; Pseudomonadota; Gammaproteobacteria; Enterobacterales; Enterobacteriaceae.
GGUUAAGCGAACAAGCGUACACGGUGGAUGCCCUGGCAGUCAGAGGCGAUGAAGGACGUGCUAAUCUGCGAAAAGCGCCGGUAAGGUGAUAUGAACCGUUAUAACCGGCGAUGUCCGAAUGGGGAAACCCGGUGCACUUCGGUGCAUCAUCGUUAGCUGAAUACAUAGGCUAACGAAGCGAACCGGGGGAACUGAAACAUCUAAGUACCCCGAGGAAAAGAAAUCAACCGAGAUUCCCCCAGUAGCGGCGAGCGAACGGGGAACAGCCCAGAGCCUGAAUCAGCUUGUGUGUCAGUGGAACGGUCUGGAAAGGCCGGCGAUACAGGGUGACAGCCCCGUACACGAAGGCACACAGGCUGUGAGCUCGAUGAGUAGGGCGGGACACGUGAUAUCCUGUCUGAAGAUGGGGGGACCAUCCUCCAAGGCUAAAUACUCCUGACUGACCGAUAGUGAACCAGUACCGUGAGGGAAAGGCGAAAAGAACCCCGGCGAGGGGAGUGAAACAGAACCUGAAACCGUGUACGUACAAGCAGUGGGAGCCUUCGUAAGAGGGUGACUGCGUACCUUUUGUAUAAUGGGUCAGCGACUUAUAUUCUGUAGCAAGGUUAACCGUAUAGGGGAGCCGAAGGGAAACCGAGUCUUAAUUGGGCGUUAAGUUGCAGGGUAUAGACCCGAAACCCGGUGAUCUAGCCAUGGGCAGGUUGAAGGUUGGGUAACACUAACUGGAGGACCGAACCGACUAAUGUUGAAAAAUUAGCGGAUGACCUGUGGCUGGGGGUGAAAGGCCAAUCAAACCGGGAGAUAGCUGGUUCUCCCCGAAAGCUAUUUAGGUAGCGCCUCGUGAAUUCAUCUCCGGGGGUAGAGCACUGUUUCGGCUAGGGGGCCAUCCCGGCUUACCAACCCGAUGCAAACUGCGAAUACCGGAGAAUGUUAUCACGGGAGACACACGGCGGGUGCUAACGUCCGUCGUGAAGAGGGAAACAACCCAGACCGCCAGCUAAGGUCCCAAAGUCAUGGUUAAGUGGGAAACGAUGUGGGAAGGCCCAGACAGCCAGGAUGUUGGCUUAGAAGCAGCCAUCAUUUAAAGAAAGCGUAAUAGCUCACUGGUCGAGUCGGCCUGCGCGGAAGAUGUAACGGGGCUAAACCAUGCACCGAAGCUGCGGCAGCGACGCUUAGGCGUUGUUGGGUAGGGGAGCGUUCUGUAAGCCUGCGAAGGUGUGCUGUGAAGCAUGCUGGAGGUAUCAGAAGUGCGAAUGCUGACAUAAGUAACGAUAAAGCGGGUGAAAAGCCCGCUCGCCGGAAGACCAAGGGUUCCUGUCCAACGUUAAUCGGGGCAGGGUGAGUCGACCCCUAAGGCGAGGCCGAAAGGCGUAGUCGAUGGGAAACAGGUUAAUAUUCCUGUACUUGGUGUUACUGCGAAGGGGGGACGGAGAAGGCUAUGUCAGCCGGGCGACGGUCGUCCCGGUUUAAGCGUGUAGGCUGACUUUCCAGGCAAAUCCGGAAGGUUAAGGCUGAGGCGUGAUGACGAGGCACCACGGUGCUGAAGUGACAAAUGCCCUGCUUCCAGGAAAAGCCUCUAAGCAUCAGGUAACAUCAAAUCGUACCCCAAACCGACACAGGUGGUCAGGUAGAGAAUACCAAGGCGCUUGAGAGAACUCGGGUGAAGGAACUAGGCAAAAUGGUGCCGUAACUUCGGGAGAAGGCACGCUGACAUGUAGGUGAAGCCCCUGCGGGUGGAGCUGAAGUCAGUCGAAGAUACCAGCUGGCUGCAACUGUUUAUUAAAAACACAGCACUGUGCAAACACGAAAGUGGACGUAUACGGUGUGACGCCUGCCCGGUGCCGGAAGGUUAAUUGAUGGGGUUAUCGCAAGAGAAGCUCCUGAUCGAAGCCCCGGUAAACGGCGGCCGUAACUAUAACGGUCCUAAGGUAGCGAAAUUCCUUGUCGGGUAAGUUCCGACCUGCACGAAUGGCGUAAUGAUGGCCAGGCUGUCUCCACCCGAGACUCAGUGAAAUUGAACUCGCUGUGAAGAUGCAGUGUACCCGCGGCAAGACGGAAAGACCCCGUGAACCUUUACUACAGCUUGACACUGAACAUUGAGCCUUGAUGUGUAGGAUAGGUGGGAGGCUUUGAAGCGUGGACGCCAGUCUGCGUGGAGCCAACCUUGAAAUACCACCCUUUAAUGUUUGAUGUUCUAACCUGGCGCCAUAAUCUGGCGUGGGGACAGUGUCUGGUGGGUAGUUUGACUGGGGCGGUCUCCUCCCAAAGUGUAACGGAGGAGCACGAAGGUCAGCUAAUCCUGGUCGGACAUCAGGAGGUUAGUGCAAUGGCAUAAGCUGGCUUGACUGCGAGAGUGACGGCUCGAGCAGGUGCGAAAGCAGGUCAUAGUGAUCCGGUGGUUCUGUAUGGAAGGGCCAUCGCUCAACGGAUAAAAGGUACUCCGGGGAUAACAGGCUGAUACCGCCCAAGAGUUCAUAUCGACGGCGGUGUUUGGCACCUCGAUGUCGGCUCAUCACAUCCUGGGGCUGAAGUAGGUCCCAAGGGUAUGGCUGUUCGCCAUUUAAAGUGGUACGCGAGCUGGGUUUAGAACGUCGUGAGACAGUUCGGUCCCUAUCUGCCGUGGGCGCUGGAGAAUUGAGGGGGGCUGCUCCCAGUACGAGAGGACCGGAGUGGACGCAUCACUGGUGUUCGGGUUGUCAUGCCAAUGGCACUGCCCGGUAGCUAAAUGCGGAAGAGAUAAGUGCUGAAAGCAUCUAAGCACGAAACUUGCCCCGAGAUGAGUUCUCCCUGAGACUGUAAGUCUCCUGAAGGAACGUUGAAGACGACGACGUUGAUAGGCCGGGUGUGUAAGCGCAGCGAUGCGUUGAGCUAACCGGUACUAAUGAACCGUGAGGCUUAACCUU